Papio anubis (olive baboon) is the source of this 49-nucleotide non-coding RNA. Lineage: Eukaryota; Metazoa; Chordata; Mammalia; Primates; Cercopithecidae. The record is from Rfam.
GGGAACCGGGAAGAAGGGCCAGCCCCAGGCCCUUCCAAACAAUGGGGCA